AAAGUUGUCUCCGAGGGACCCUGGGCUCCUCUGCAGGCACCCUGGCCCCUUUAUGUGCUGCCAGAUCCCUCUGCCAACUUCCAACAUGUAUGACAAAGAUGUGAAACUGAGGAGAGACUGGAAAACCACAGUUUUUGUUGGGAAAGAGGAGAGAGAGAACCUGAGACACAUUGCACACUGACAGAAUCACAGAAUGAGUAAGGUGGGAAGGGACCUUUGGAGAUAAUCUAGAUCAUGUUGCACAAAGCAGGGUCAUCUGGAGCGCAUUGCACAGAAGAACCUCCAGAUGCCAUUGGGAUGCUCAAGUUUAGGAUAAGGGAGGAGGGGAAGCCCAGAUGCCCGCAGCAAGGAUCAAGACCUUGUAAUGAGGCRUCUGCCUCCUCCCUGCAUUGCAGUACUGGAGUCUUCUCUGCUCUGUGCCACGUGAUGGUUUUCAUGCCCUUCUAAGGGAAAACGAUAGCACAUUUAUUCCUGCCCGAGCAUGGCAGAAACAUGGAGCAUAGCCUAGGACUGCUGCACUCAUGAUUACACUCAUGAGAAAAAGACGUUUAUAGCCAGUUAGACCCAGUGAAAUUUUUGAAUUUGCAUCGCUUCCACCCAAAAGGCACAAUUUCUGCAGGCAAAAGUACAAGACAAUCAUUCAGGAACUAGAGCUGUCAAGA
Nothoprocta perdicaria is the source of this 662-nucleotide long non-coding RNA. RefSeq lists it as uncharacterized. The transcript has 4 exons. NCBI's taxonomy places the organism in Eukaryota, Metazoa, Chordata, Aves, Tinamiformes, Tinamidae. The record is from RefSeq and is a predicted model, not a curated record.